Molecule: ribosomal RNA, 427 nt
Filed under: Culicoides loxodontis
Lineage: Eukaryota; Metazoa; Arthropoda; Insecta; Diptera; Ceratopogonidae
Description: partial 16S ribosomal RNA
Source: RNAcentral
UUGACCGUGCCAAGGUAGCAUAAUCAAUUGUCUUUUAAUUAAAGGCUAGAAUGAAUGGUUUAAUGAGAUAUUAACUAUUUUUAUUUUAAAAAAAAUGAAUUUUAAUUUUUAGUAAAAAUGCUAAAAUAAAAAAAUUAGACGAGAAGACCCUAUAAAUCUUUAUUUUGAAUUUUUUUUUUAAAAAAUAUGAAAAUAAUUUUUUUUAAAAAAAAAUAAAAAUUUUAUUGGGAAGAUAAUGAAAUUUAAAAAACUUUUAUUUUUUUUUAUAAUUAUAAUUAAUUUUUUUUAUAUAUUUAUAAUAAUAUUUAAAAAAUUAAGUUACUUUAGGGAUAACAGCGUAAUUAUUUUAAAGAGUUCUUAUCGAUAAAAUAGAUUACGACCUCCGCAUGUGAAUUAAGAAUUAACUGAACAUGACAGAAGUAACCAC